This 62-nucleotide transfer RNA is filed under the name Ictidomys tridecemlineatus (thirteen-lined ground squirrel). RNAcentral describes it as "Spermophilus tridecemlineatus (thirteen-lined ground squirrel) tRNA". It matches the Rfam family "tRNA", at positions 5 to 66 of the family's 71-position model. Rfam says of the family: Transfer RNA (tRNA) molecules are approximately 80 nucleotides in length. Their secondary structure includes four short double-helical elements and three loops (D, anti-codon, and T loops). Lineage: Eukaryota; Metazoa; Chordata; Mammalia; Rodentia; Sciuridae. The record is from Rfam by way of RNAcentral.
AUGUAGCUCAGAGGUAGAGCACUUAACUAGCAUGCAAGAGGCUCUGGGUUUGAUCCCAGCAU